GAUGAACGCUGGCGGCGUGCCUAAUACAUGCAAGUCGAGCGAACAGACGAGGAGCUUACUCCUCUGACGUUAGCGGCGGACGGGUGAGUAACACGUGGAUAACCUACCUAUAAGACUGGGAUAACUUCGGGAAACCGGAGCUAAUACCGGAUAACAUGUUGAACCGCAUGGUUCAACAGUGAAAGACGGUCUUGCUGUCACUUAUAGAUGGAUCCGCGUCGCAUUAGCUAGUUGGUAAGGUAACGGCUUACCAAGGCAACGAUGCGUAGCCGACCUGAGAGGGUGAUCGGCCACACUGGAACUGAGACACGGUCCAGACUCCUACGGGAGGCAGCAGUAGGGAAUCUUCCGCAAUGGGCGAAAGCCUGACGGAGCAACGCCGCGUGAGUGAAGAAGGUCUUUGGAUCGUAAAACUCUGUUAUUAGGGAAGAACAAAUGUGUAAGUAACUAUGCACGUCUUGACGGUACCUAAUCAGAAAGCCACGGCUAACUACGUG
RNAcentral lists this ribosomal RNA (497 nucleotides) under uncultured bacterium. Its description in RNAcentral is "partial 16S ribosomal RNA". It matches the Rfam family "Bacterial small subunit ribosomal RNA", at positions 28 to 507 of the family's 1533-position model. The record is from RNAcentral.